Molecule: ribosomal RNA, 265 nt
Filed under: uncultured bacterium
Lineage: Bacteria
Description: partial 16S ribosomal RNA
Rfam family: Bacterial small subunit ribosomal RNA
Source: RNAcentral
GUCCACGCCCUAAACGAUGAUGACUAGUUGUUGGGGGAGUUAAAUCCCUUAGUAACGCAGCUAACGCGUGAAGUCAUCCGCCUGGGGAGUACGGUCGCAAGAUUAAAACUCAAAGGAAUUGACGGGGGCCCGCACAAGCGGUGGAUGAUGUGGUUUAAUUCGAUGCAACGCGAAAAACCUUACCUACCCUUGACAUGUCAGGAACGCUGCAGAAAUGCAGCGGUGCCCGAAAGGGACCUGAACACAGGUGCUGCAUGGCUGUCGU